AUUGAACGCUGGCGGAAUGCUUUACACAUGCAAGUCGAACGGCAGCACGGACUUCGGUCUGGGCGAGUGGCGAACGGGUGAGUAAUGUAUCGGAACGUGCCCAGUCGUGGGGGAUAACGUAGUGAAAAUUACGCUAAUACCGCAUACGAUCUAUGGAUGAAAGCGGGGGAUCGCAAGACCUCGCGCGAUUGGAGCGGCCGAUAUCAGAUUAGGUAGUUGGUGGGGUAAAGGCCCACCAAGCCAACGAUCUGUAGCUGGUCUGAGAGGACGACCAGCCACACUGGAACUGAGACACGGUCCAGACUCCUACGGGAGGCAGCAGUGGGGAAUUUUGGACAAUGGGCGAAGGCCUGAUCCAGCCAUUCCGCGUGCAGGAUGAAGGCCCUCGGGUUGUAAACUGCUUUUGUACAGAACGAAAAGGUUUCUACUAAUACUAGGAGCUCAUGACGGUACUGUAAGAAUAAGCACCGGCUAACUACGUGCCAGCCGCCGCGGUAA
This 498-nucleotide ribosomal RNA is filed under the name uncultured bacterium. Its description in RNAcentral is "partial 16S ribosomal RNA". It matches the Rfam family "Bacterial small subunit ribosomal RNA", at positions 30 to 523 of the family's 1533-position model. The record is from RNAcentral.